AGUGAACGCUGGCGGUAGGCCUAACACAUGCAAGUCGAACGGCAGCACAGUAAGAGCUUGCUCUUACGGGUGGCGAGUGGCGGACGGGUGAGGAAUACAUCGGAAUCUACUUUUUCGUGGGGGAUAACGUAGGGAAACUUACGCUAAUACCGCAUACGACCUACGGGUGAAAGCAGGGGAUCUUCGGACCUUGCGCGAUUGAAUGAGCCGAUGUCGGAUUAGCUAGUUGGCGGGGUAAAGGCCCACCAAGGCGACGAUCCGUAGCUGGUCUGAGAGGAUGAUCAGCCACACUGGAGCUGAGACACGGUCCAGACUCCUACGGGAGGCAGCAGUGGGGAAUAUUGGACAGUGGGCGAAAGCCUGAUCCAGCAAUACCGCGUGGGUGAAGAAGGCCUUCGGGUUGUAAAGCCCUUUUGUUGGGAAAGAAAAGCAGCAGGUUAAUACCCCGCUGUUCUGACGGUACCCAAAGAAUAAGCACCGGCUAACUUCGUG
RNAcentral lists this ribosomal RNA (492 nucleotides) under uncultured bacterium. RNAcentral describes it as "partial 16S ribosomal RNA". It matches the Rfam family "Bacterial small subunit ribosomal RNA", at positions 29 to 507 of the family's 1533-position model. The record is from RNAcentral.